CCCUGUGCUGUUUGUGUGCUAUUUUAAUUCGCUUAUGAAAAGCCCCCGCUUUGAUGUCCGGGACCAGAUAAGGCCGGGAGGGGACCCUCCAUGGAGAGCGGGACUGUGCCGCCCGCGGUCGCUGCACUGGGCCUCCUCGCCCCCCCACUCCGGGCCCGGGGCCAGCGCGAUGUCAUGAGAAAAUUCCAACAGUACAGAAAGGUCUGAAAUGAAAG
This 215-nucleotide long non-coding RNA is filed under the name Homo sapiens (human). RNAcentral's name for it is "HSALNT0171222". The record is from RNAcentral. Lineage: Eukaryota; Metazoa; Chordata; Mammalia; Primates; Hominidae.